AAUGUAUUGAAGUGACAAAAUGGGCAAAUGAUGAAAUGGAGAUCAAACUUGAUGUGGCAUUUCGAAUGAAGGUAGAUGCAAUUGAUGCAAUGAAAUCUCGUGUCACAUAUGGUGAUUGAGUGUUUGUUGUCGACUUGGAACAAAAUAUGUGCACAUGUAAUGAAUUUCAACUAGAGGGAAUUCCAUGUGCACAUGCUAUUGCAACAAUUGAAAGCAAGUACUUGGACAAGUACAAAUUUUGCUCAAAUUGGUAUAGAAAUUCUGUUUUGAAAGAGA
Molecule: long non-coding RNA, 276 nt
Organism: Humulus lupulus (European hop)
Lineage: Eukaryota; Viridiplantae; Streptophyta; Magnoliopsida; Rosales; Cannabaceae
Exons: 2
Source: RefSeq, a predicted model, not a curated record